UAUGGCCACAUCAUGUUGAAACACUGGUUCUCCUGUGAUCACCGAAGUUAAGCAACAUCAAGCCUGAUCAGUGCCUAGAUGGGUGACUACUUGAAAACACCAGGCGUUGUAA
Acanthosepion pharaonis is the source of this 112-nucleotide non-coding RNA. The record is from the annotation of a GenBank genome assembly. NCBI's taxonomy places the organism in Eukaryota, Metazoa, Mollusca, Cephalopoda, Sepiida, Sepiidae.